Molecule: ribosomal RNA, 254 nt
Filed under: uncultured bacterium
Lineage: Bacteria
Description: partial 16S ribosomal RNA
Rfam family: Bacterial small subunit ribosomal RNA
Source: RNAcentral
GACGGGGGGGGCAAGCGUUGUUCGGAAUUACUGGGCGUAAAGGGCUCGUAGGUGGCCAACUAAGUCAGACGUGAAAUCCCUCGGCUUAACCGGGGAACUGCGUCUGAUACUGGAUGGCUUGAGUUUGGGAGAGGGAUGCGGAAUUCCAGGUGUAGCGGUGAAAUGCGUAGAUAUCUGGAGGAACACCGGUGGCGAAGGCGGCAUCCUGGACCAACACUGACGCUGAGUGAGCGAAAGCCAGGGGAGCAAACGGG